UAUGUGAUCGUCUCUCGCAUAUCAAUAAGCGGAGGAAAAGAAACUAACAAGGAUUCCCCUAGUAACGGCGAGUGAAGCGGGAAGAGCUCAAAUUUGAAAUCUUAAAGGGUUUCCCUUUACGAAUUGUAGUUUAAAGAAGUGUUUUCUGUUGAGGUUUUGGUAAAAGUUCUUUGGAAUAGGACAUCAUAGAGGGUGAGAAUCCCGUAUUUGACCUUUACUUUCAACUUUGUGAUACACUUUCAAAGAGUCGGAUUGUUUGGGAAUGCAGUCCAAAAUGGGUGGUAAAUUUCAUCUAAAGCUAAAUAUUGGCGAGAGACCGAUAGCGAACAAGUACCGUGAGGGAAAGAUGAAAAGGAACUUUGAAAAGAGAGUUAAACAGUACGUGAAAUUGUCAAAAGGGAAGCGUUUGACACCAGUGUUGUUUUUCUGAAAAUCAAUUAAAGAACUGUUUAUGCUAAGUUGUUUAGACUUUAUCAGCUAACUGUUUAGUUUUGAGCUUUUCUUUAAUGCACUUUUCAGUUAACAAGUCAACAUCAAUUUCUUUUGCUGUAAAAAAGCUUGAGGAAGGUGGCUUGAGAUUCGUCUUAAGUGUUUAUAGCCUCUUGCCUAUGCAGUCGGAGAGAUUGAGGUCUGCAGCGUAGAUCCUUCGGGGCUAAAUGCAUUUGUGCUAAGUUAUAGCAUUUUAUAGACAACUUGUUGACUAUGAUUUGUCUUGUAGCUUACUCGCUUAUGUCAUUUUACCUACGCUUAGGAUGUUGAUCUACAGAGCGAGAGU
RNAcentral lists this ribosomal RNA (775 nucleotides) under uncultured Neocallimastigales. Its description in RNAcentral is "partial large subunit ribosomal RNA". It matches the Rfam family "Eukaryotic large subunit ribosomal RNA", at positions 24 to 631 of the family's 3401-position model. The record is from RNAcentral. Lineage: Eukaryota; Fungi; Neocallimastigomycota; Neocallimastigomycetes; Neocallimastigales.